GUAGUUUUUGUUGUCAGGAU
RNAcentral lists this microRNA (20 nucleotides) under Corchorus capsularis. Its description in RNAcentral is "sRNA CCACVL1_08393". Lineage: Eukaryota; Viridiplantae; Streptophyta; Magnoliopsida; Malvales; Malvaceae. The record is from RNAcentral.